RNAcentral lists this ribosomal RNA (43 nucleotides) under Poa smirnowii. RNAcentral describes it as "partial 18S ribosomal RNA". Lineage: Eukaryota; Viridiplantae; Streptophyta; Magnoliopsida; Poales; Poaceae. The record is from RNAcentral.
GUCGUAACAGGUUUCCGUAGGUGAACCUGCGGAAGGAUCAUUG